GAUGAACGCUGGCGGCGUGCCUAAUACAUGCAAGUCGAGCGAACAGACGAGGAGCUUGCUCCUCUGACGUUAGCGGCGGACGGGUGAGUAACACGUGGAUAACCUACCUAUAAGACUGGGAUAACUUCGGGAAACCGGAGCUAAUACCGGAUAAUAUAUUGAACCGCAUGGUUCAAUAGUGAAAGACGGUUUUGCUGUCACUUAUAGAUGGAUCCGCGCCGCAUUAGCUAGUUGGUAAGGUAACGGCUUACCAAGGCAACGAUGCGUAGCCGACCUGAGAGGGUGAUCGGCCACACUGGAACUGAGACACGGUCCAGACUCCUACGGGAGGCAGCAGUAGGGAAUAUUCCGCAAUGGGCGCAAGCCUGACGCAGCAACGCCGCGUGAGUGAUGAAGGUCUUCGGAUCGUAAAACUCUGUUAUUAGGGAAGAACAAAUGUGUAAGUAACUAUGCACGUCUUGACGGUACCUAAUCAGAAAGCCACGGCUAACUACGUG
Molecule: ribosomal RNA, 497 nt
Filed under: uncultured bacterium
Lineage: Bacteria
Description: partial 16S ribosomal RNA
Rfam family: Bacterial small subunit ribosomal RNA
Source: RNAcentral